AGUGGGGAAUAUUGGACAAUGGGGGCAACCCUGAUCCAGCGACGCCGCGUGUGUGAAGAAGGCCUGCGGGUUGUAAAGCACUUUUAGUGGGGACAAAAAGCUACAGGCUAAUACCCUGUGGUCUUGAUUUAACCCAAAGAAAAAGCACCGGCUAACUCUGUGCCAGCAGCCGCGGUAAUACAGAGGGUGCAAGCGUUAAUCGGAAUUACUGGGCGUAAAGCGUGCGUAGUCGGUUAUUCAAGUCGGGUGUGAAAGCCCCGGGCUCAACCUGGGAAUUGCAUUCGAUACUGUGUAGCUAGAGUUCGGCAGAGGGAAGUGGAAUUUCCGGUGUAGCGGUGAAAUGCGUAGAUAUCGGAAGGAACAUCAGUGGCGAAAGCGACUUCCUGGACCAGAACUGACGAUCAGGCACGAAAGCGUGGGGAGCAAA
RNAcentral lists this ribosomal RNA (427 nucleotides) under uncultured Lysobacterales bacterium. Its description in RNAcentral is "bacterial SSU rRNA". It matches the Rfam family "Bacterial small subunit ribosomal RNA", at positions 353 to 772 of the family's 1533-position model. Lineage: Bacteria; Pseudomonadati; Pseudomonadota; Gammaproteobacteria; Lysobacterales. The record is from RNAcentral.